Molecule: ribosomal RNA, 2927 nt
Filed under: Enterobacter hormaechei subsp. hoffmannii
Lineage: Bacteria; Pseudomonadati; Pseudomonadota; Gammaproteobacteria; Enterobacterales; Enterobacteriaceae
Description: bacterial LSU rRNA
Rfam family: Bacterial large subunit ribosomal RNA
Source: RNAcentral
GGGUUGUGAGGUUAAGCGACUAAGCGUACACGGUGGAUGCCCUGGCAGUCAGAGGCGAUGAAGGACGUGCUAAUCUGCGAAAAGCGCCGGCGAGGUGAUAUGAACCUUUGACCCGGCGAUGUCCGAAUGGGGAAACCCAGUGCAAUCCGUUGCACUAUCGUUAACUGAAUACAUAGGUUAACGAGGCGAACCGGGGGAACUGAAACAUCUAAGUACCCCGAGGAAAAGAAAUCAACCGAGAUUCCCCCAGUAGCGGCGAGCGAACGGGGAGCAGCCCGGAGUCUGAAUCAGCUUGUGUGUUAGUGGAACGGUCUGGAAAGUCCGACGGUACAGGGUGAUAGUCCCGUACACGAAAGCACACAUGCUGUGAACUCGAAGAGUAGGGCGGGACACGUGGUAUCCUGUCUGAAUAUGGGGGGACCAUCCUCCAAGGCUAAAUACUCCUGACUGACCGAUAGUGAACCAGUACCGUGAGGGAAAGGCGAAAAGAACCCCGGCGAGGGGAGUGAAAAAGAACCUGAAACCGUGUACGUACAAGCAGUGGGAGCCUCUUUAUGGGGUGACUGCGUACCUUUUGUAUAAUGGGUCAGCGACUUAUAUUCUGUAGCAAGGUUAACCGUAUAAGGGAGCCGAAGGGAAACCGAGUCUUAACUGGGCGUUAAGUUGCAGGGUAUAGACCCGAAACCCGGUGAUCUAGCCAUGGGCAGGUUGAAGGUUGGGUAACACUAACUGGAGGACCGAACCGACUAAUGUUGAAAAAUUAGCGGAUGACCUGUGGCUGGGGGUGAAAGGCCAAUCAAACCGGGAGAUAGCUGGUUCUCCCCGAAAGCUAUUUAGGUAGCGCCUCGUGAACUCAUCUUCGGGGGUAGAGCACUGUUUCGGCUAGGGGGCCAUCCCGGCUUACCAACCCGAUGCAAACUACGAAUACCGAAGAAUGUUAUCACGGGAGACACACGGCGGGUGCUAACGUCCGUCGUGAAGAGGGAAACAACCCAGACCGCCAGCUAAGGUCCCAAAGUCAUGGUUAAGUGGGAAACGAUGUGGGAAGGCACAGACAGCCAGGAUGUUGGCUUAGAAGCAGCCAUCAUUUAAAGAAAGCGUAAUAGCUCACUGGUCGAGUCGGCCUGCGCGGAAGAUGUAACGGGGCUAAACCAUGCACCGAAGCUGCGGCAGCGACGCUUAGGCGUUGUUGGGUAGGGGAGCGUUCUGUAAGCCGUUGAAGGUGUCCUGUGAGGGGUGCUGGAGGUAUCAGAAGUGCGAAUGCUGACAUAAGUAACGAUAAAGCGGGUGAAAAGCCCGCUCGCCGGAAGACCAAGGGUUCCUGUCCAACGUUAAUCGGGGCAGGGUGAGUCGACCCCUAAGGCGAGGCCGAAAGGCGUAGUCGAUGGGAAACAGGUUAAUAUUCCUGUACUUGGUGUUACUGCGAAGGGGGGACGGAGAAGGCUAUGUCAGCCGGGCGACGGUUGUCCCGGUUUAAGCAUGUAGGCGGAGGUUCCAGGUAAAUCCGGUACCUUAUUAACGCUGAGGUGUGAUGACGAGGCACUACGGUGCUGAAGUGAUAAAUGCCCUGCUUCCAGGAAAAGCCUCUAAGCAUCAGGUAACACGAAAUCGUACCCCAAACCGACACAGGUGGUCAGGUAGAGAAUACCAAGGCGCUUGAGAGAACUCGGGUGAAGGAACUAGGCAAAAUGGUGCCGUAACUUCGGGAGAAGGCACGCUGAUAUGUAGGUGAAGCCCCUGCGGGCGGAGCUGAAAUCAGUCGAAGAUACCAGCUGGCUGCAACUGUUUAUUAAAAACACAGCACUGUGCAAACACGAAAGUGGACGUAUACGGUGUGACGCCUGCCCGGUGCCGGAAGGUUAAUUGAUGGGGUUAGCGGCAACGCGAAGCUCUUGAUCGAAGCCCCGGUAAACGGCGGCCGUAACUAUAACGGUCCUAAGGUAGCGAAAUUCCUUGUCGGGUAAGUUCCGACCUGCACGAAUGGCGUAAUGAUGGCCAGGCUGUCUCCACCCGAGACUCAGUGAAAUUGAACUCGCUGUGAAGAUGCAGUGUACCCGCGGCAAGACGGAAAGACCCCGUGAACCUUUACUAUAGCUUGACACUGAACACUGGUCCUUGAUGUGUAGGAUAGGUGGGAGGCUUUGAAGCGUGGACGCCAGUCUGCGUGGAGCCAACCUUGAAAUACCACCCUUUAAUGGCUGGUGUUCUAACGUAGACCCGUAAUCCGGGUUGCGGACAGUGUCUGGUGGGUAGUUUGACUGGGGCGGUCUCCUCCCAAAGAGUAACGGAGGAGCACGAAGGUUGGCUAAUCCUGGUCGGACAUCAGGAGGUUAGUGCAAUGGCAUAAGCCAGCUUGACUGCGAGCGUGACGGCGCGAGCAGGUGCGAAAGCAGGUCAUAGUGAUCCGGUGGUUCUGAAUGGAAGGGCCAUCGCUCAACGGAUAAAAGGUACUCCGGGGAUAACAGGCUGAUACCGCCCAAGAGUUCAUAUCGACGGCGGUGUUUGGCACCUCGAUGUCGGCUCAUCACAUCCUGGGGCUGAAGUAGGUCCCAAGGGUAUGGCUGUUCGCCAUUUAAAGUGGUACGCGAGCUGGGUUUAGAACGUCGUGAGACAGUUCGGUCCCUAUCUGCCGUGGGCGCUGGAGAAUUGAGGGGGGCUGCUCCUAGUACGAGAGGACCGGAGUGGACGCAUCACUGGUGUUCGGGUUGUCAUGCCAAUGGCACUGCCCGGUAGCUAAAUGCGGAAGAGAUAAGUGCUGAAAGCAUCUAAGCACGAAACUUGCCCCGAGAUGAGUUCUCCCUGAGACCUUGAGUCUCCUGAAGGAACGUUGAAGACUACGACGUUGAUAGGUCGGGUGUGUAAGCGCAGCGAUGCGUUGAGCUAACCGAUACUAAUGAACCGUGAGGCUUAACCUUACAACGCCGAAG